RNAcentral lists this ribosomal RNA (253 nucleotides) under uncultured bacterium. RNAcentral describes it as "partial 16S ribosomal RNA". It matches the Rfam family "Bacterial small subunit ribosomal RNA", at positions 524 to 776 of the family's 1533-position model. The record is from RNAcentral.
UACAGAGGGUGCGAGCGUUAAUCGGAAUAACUGGGCGUAAAGGGCGUGUAGGUGGUUAACUGAGUUUGAGGUGAAAGCCCUGGGCUCAACCCAGGAGGGGCUUCAAAGACGGGUUAACUAGAGUGAGAGAGGGGGUUGUGGAAUUUCCGGUGGAGCGGUGAAAUGCGUAGAGAUCGGAAGGAACACCAGCGGCGAAGGCGGCGACCUGGCUCUUUACUGACACUGAGGCGCGAAGGCGUGGGGAGCAAACAGG